UACAGAGGUGGCGAACGUUGUUCGGAUUUACUGGGCGUAAAGGGUCCGCAGGCGGCUUGGUGUGUCAGAUGUGAAAGCCCACGGCUCAACCGUGGAAUUGCAUUUGAAACUGCCGAGCUAGAGUACUGGAGGGGAGAAGGGAACACUUGGUGUAGCGGUGAAAUGCGUAGAUAUCAAGUGGAACACCGGAGGCGAAGGCGCUUCUCUGGACAGAUACUGACGCUCAUGGACGAAAGCUAGGGUAGCGAAAGGG
Molecule: ribosomal RNA, 253 nt
Filed under: uncultured bacterium
Lineage: Bacteria
Description: partial 16S ribosomal RNA
Rfam family: Bacterial small subunit ribosomal RNA
Source: RNAcentral